AGCGGCGGACGGGUGAGUAAUGCUUGGGAAUAUGCCUUAGGGUGGGGGACAACAGUUGGAAACGACUGCUAAUACCGCAUAACGUCUACGGACCAAAGGGGGCUUCGGCUCUCGCCCUUAGAUUAGCCCAAGUGGGAUUAGCUAGUUGGUGAGGUAAUGGCUCACCAAGGCGACGAUCCCUAGCUGGUUUGAGAGGAUGAUCAGCCACACUGGAACUGAGACACGGUCCAGACUCCUACGGGAGGCAGCAGUGGGGAAUAUUGCACAAUGGGCGCAAGCCUGAUGCAGCCAUGCCGCGUGUGUGAAGAAGGCCUUAGGGUUGUAAAGCACUUUCAGUAAGGAGGAAAGGUUAGUAGUUAAUACCUGCUAGCUGUGACGUUACUUACAGAAGAAGCACCGGCUAACUCCGUGCCAGCAGCCGCGGUAAUACGGAGGGUGCGAGCGUUAAUCGGAAUUACUGGGCGUAAAGCGUACGCAGGCGGUUUGUUAAGCGAGAUGUGAAAGCCCCGGGCUCAACCUGGGAACUGCAUUUCGAACUGGCAAACUAGAGUAUGAUAGAGGGUGGUAGAAUUUCAGGUGUAGCGGUGAAAUGCGUAGAGAUCUGAAGGAAUACCGAUGGCGAAGGCAGCCACCUGGGUCAAUACUGACGCUCAUGUACGAAAGCGUGGGGAGCAAACGGGAUUAGAUACCCCGGUAGUCCACGCCGUAAACGAUGUCUACUAGGAGCUGGGGUCUUCGGACAACUUUUCCAAAGCUAACGCAUUAAGUAGACCGCCUGGGGAGUACGGCCGCAAGGUUAAAACUCAAAUGAAUUGACGGGGGCCCGCACAAGCGGUGGAGCAUGUGGUUUAAUUUCGAUGCAACGCGAAGAACCUUACCUACACUUGACAUACAGAGAACUUAC
Molecule: ribosomal RNA, 904 nt
Filed under: Pseudoalteromonas sp. TSAR59
Lineage: Bacteria; Pseudomonadati; Pseudomonadota; Gammaproteobacteria; Alteromonadales; Pseudoalteromonadaceae
Description: bacterial SSU rRNA
Rfam family: Bacterial small subunit ribosomal RNA
Source: RNAcentral